AGUGAACGCUGGCGGUAGGCCUAACACAUGCAAGUCGAACGGCAGCACAGUAAGAGCUUGCUCUUACGGGUGGCGAGUGGCGGACGGGUGAGGAAUACAUCGGAUUCUACUUUUUCGUGGGGGAUAACGUAGGGAAACUUACGCUAAUACCGCAUACGUCCUACGGGUUAAUGCAGGGGAUCUUCGGACCUUUCGCGAUUGAUUGAGCCGAUGUCGGAUUAGCUAGUUGGCGGGGUAAAGGCCCACCAAGGCGACGAUCCGUAGCUGGCCUGAGAGGAUGAUCGGCCACACUGGAACUGAGACACGGUCCAGACUCCUACGGGAGGCAGCAGUAGGGAAUAUUGCGCAAUGGGCGAAAGCCUGACCGAGCCAUGCCGCGUGGGUGAAGAAGGCCUUCGGGUUGUAAAGCCCUUUUAUUGGGAAAGAAAAGAAGCAGAUUAAACCGCGCAUGUUCUGACGGUACCCAAACAAUAAGCCACGGCUAACUUCGUG
This 492-nucleotide ribosomal RNA is filed under the name uncultured bacterium. RNAcentral's name for it is "partial 16S ribosomal RNA". It matches the Rfam family "Bacterial small subunit ribosomal RNA", at positions 29 to 507 of the family's 1533-position model. The record is from RNAcentral.